Molecule: unclassified non-coding RNA, 227 nt
Filed under: uncultured fungus
Lineage: Eukaryota; Fungi
Description: sequence contains ITS1, 5.8S rRNA gene
Rfam family: 5.8S ribosomal RNA (bases 179-227)
Source: RNAcentral
UCUCCGUAGGUGAACCUGCGGAGGGAUCAUUACUGGGUGAGGGUUUAACCGCCCGACCUCCAACCCCAUGUGAACUGAAACCUGUUGCCUCGGGGGCGACCCUGCCUUUCGGCGCGGCGCCCCCGGAGGCUCAUCAAACACUGCAUCUUUGCGUCGGAGUCUUAAUGAAUUUAAACAAAACUUUUAACAACGGAUCUCUUGGUUCUGGCAUCGAUGAAGAACGCAGC